CACCCAGUAGCUCAAUGCUCAUACGUUAGGCUUGAAACCAAAAGGUCCCGGGUUCGAAUCCUGGCUAGGGCGUGGA
This is a non-coding RNA of Rhamnusium bicolor, 76 nucleotides long. Lineage: Eukaryota; Metazoa; Arthropoda; Insecta; Coleoptera; Cerambycidae. The record is from the annotation of a GenBank genome assembly.